UUAAUUGUUUGUUAUGCUGCAAUUUGCGAACACCCAGAACCAGAAAUUGGUCCAACGUAGAUACAAAUAAGGUAGGACAAAGGCUUUAUGUGCCUCCUGAGCUGGAAACGAUAAUUCUUUGUCCGUCUGUCUCUGUGCGACUGUUGUUUGUUUUAUUUUUGGUAUCUUUGAUCCUCUGCUGUUAGGUCUUGUUCUUCCUUUUCUUCCACUUCUCUGCAAAUCUUCAUAUGUACGCGGAUUGACCAUCAAAUUUUCGCCAACGUUUAGCCCUCUGGGUCAAUCACGCAAUCUCAAUUUACAUUGGCUUUUGAAUGGUGGCUUGGUUUGCUCAUCAAUCCUAGUCUGAAAGUUUGGUGUUGAACAUCAAGAUGGGAGCUUGUGCGUCCAAGGGGUUCAUUGGGAACAAAAUGUGAUUUUGAUAUAAUGCAAAUGGAAUGCUGUAGGGCACUACGAAAAGUCUGAAUCAUUAACUAAAAGCAUCAACAAAUCAGAGAGAGAACAUGAACUUGUAAUUGCUUGGGUGAGAGAAAAGAAAGAGAAAGAUAGAAAUCAUGUCCUUUGCAGCAAUCAUGUUCUUCCAUUAGAGAAACUCAAAAAAGACUUGAUUUGGUGAAGAACCUUGGUACCAUUCCAAGGUCUGGCACCAAGAAAUUCAUGGAAGCCUUGGCAGCGUGGCUGCUGUACCUGAUUUUAGCAUGAUUGGUCAGUUUGGUGUUGGGUUCUACUUUGCAUAUCUUGUUGUUAAGAAGGAAGAGGAAGUUGAUGAAGAGAAGGAAGUGGUCAUGUUUCUGGCCUUGAUGUUUUUGACCUUUAUGUUUAGGCACGGUUAGUAUGUUCAUGUUGGGAUGAUGAUGGAAUGAAUUGGUUUUGGAUAUUUAAUCAAUUAAUGGAUAUGUUUUCGGAUGUGUUGAUCAAUUAGUUUUGGUUAGAUACCAUAUGCAGAAUGUAUGUACUGUGACUCUCUCUCAUACCAUUUCAUUCCAAAUA
Molecule: long non-coding RNA, 987 nt
Organism: Rosa chinensis
Lineage: Eukaryota; Viridiplantae; Streptophyta; Magnoliopsida; Rosales; Rosaceae
Exons: 5
Source: RefSeq, a predicted model, not a curated record